UGGGGAAUAUUGCACAAUGGGCGCAAGCCUGAUGCAGCGACGCCGCGUGGGGGAUGAAGGCCUUCGGGUUGUAAACUCCUUUCGCUAGGGACGAAGCAUUAUGUGACGGUACCUGGAGAAGAAGCACCGGCUAACUACGUGCCAGCAGCCGCGGUAAUACGUAGGGUGCGAGCGUUGUCCGGAAUUACUGGGCGUAAAGGGCUCGUAGGUGGUUUGUCGCGUCGUCUGUGAAAUUCCGGGGCUUAACUCCGGGCGUGCAGGCGAUACGGGCAUAACUUGAGUACUGUAGGGGUAACUGGAAUUCCUGGUGUAGCGGUGAAAUGCGCAGAUAUCAGGAGGAACACCGAUGGCGAAGGCAGGUUACUGGGCAGUUACUGACGCUGAGGAGCGAAAGCAUGGGUAGCGAACAGGAUUAGAUACCC
This 422-nucleotide ribosomal RNA is filed under the name uncultured bacterium. Its description in RNAcentral is "bacterial SSU rRNA". It matches the Rfam family "Bacterial small subunit ribosomal RNA", at positions 355 to 787 of the family's 1533-position model. The record is from RNAcentral.